AGAACGAACGCUGGCGGCAGGCUUAACACAUGCAAGUCGAACGCCCCGCAAGGGGAGUGGCAGACGGGUGAGUAACGCGUGGGAAUCUACCCAGAACUUCGGAACAACUGAGGGAAACUUCAGCUAAUACCGGAUACGCCCUACGGGGGAAAGAUUUAUCGGUUCUGGAUGAGCCCGCGUAAGAUUAGCUAGUUGGUGGGGUAAUGGCCUACCAAGGCGACGAUCUUUAGCUGGUCUGAGAGGAUGAUCAGCCACACUGGGACUGAGACACGGCCCAGACUCCUACGGGAGGCAGCAGUGGGGAAUAUUGGACAAUGGCGAAAGCCUGAUCCAGCCAUGCCGCGUGAGUGAUGAAGGCCUUAGGGUUGUAAAGCUCUUUUAGUGGGAAGAUAAUGACGGUACCACAGAAAACGCCCGGACCAACUUCGUGCCAGCAGCCGC
RNAcentral lists this ribosomal RNA (441 nucleotides) under uncultured bacterium. RNAcentral's name for it is "SSU rRNA". It matches the Rfam family "Bacterial small subunit ribosomal RNA", at positions 26 to 518 of the family's 1533-position model. The record is from RNAcentral.